UAGAAUCUGCAUUAUUAACGACUACAUAAUAACGACCAAGUGAAAUUUUUGUUGAUAUAUGUAUGCAUCAACUAGAACUUUUGGCGAUCGUUGUUGUUAUAAGGUCUAGUACAUAUUAUGAGUUGCUAAACUGUCGUUAAUACCUGACAAGAAAAAUAAAUUAUAUCAAGUUCAUCGUUAAUACCUGAUACUAACUUCAUUUUUUUUAGAAAAAAACCGUAAUUAAGCACUUAGAGCGCCAGAUCGAGGAGCAAAAUUUUUCUUUAAAAUUGAAAAUGAAACCUAUUCGCUCCAUUUCUCCUCUUUCAACAUACAUUGUUUAGAAAAAAAAAAUCGCUUUCAACAUGAAAUUAAGUUUUGAAACUGCUUCUCUGUCAACUUGCAAGCCGCUGCUUCAACGACUGAAUUCGAUCGACGACUGAAUUGAAUUCGCUGUGCCGACUGAAUUGAAUUCGCUGUGCCGACUGAAUUUCGCUGCUUCGACCUAAUUUCAACCAAGUUGUGUGGCUUUCAUUUCCUUUGCUAGAGCACUUUGGGAACAAUGGAUUGUGCCAUCGAUUAGAGAAACCAUUUUGCAAGUAUAUGAAGAAGAAAACAACCAUGCACAUCAUCGACAACUUAGGGAUGAUUUAUGUAGUAUUAAAGCUUUAUAGGAUGAGAUGACUAUUUGAAAGAUCUUCAAACUCAUUUAUGUUUCUAGUGGCUUGUACUCAAAUCAAUUGAUAUUAUGUUAACGAUUUAUUUCUAUUUUUAUUUUUUAUUUUUUUAAUCUUAUAUACAUGUUCAUUGAACAAAUUAAAGUAA
Long non-coding RNA from Beta vulgaris subsp. vulgaris (sugar beet), 804 nucleotides. RefSeq lists it as uncharacterized. The record is from RefSeq and is a predicted model, not a curated record. Lineage: Eukaryota; Viridiplantae; Streptophyta; Magnoliopsida; Caryophyllales; Amaranthaceae. The transcript is spliced from 3 exons.